This 327-nucleotide unclassified non-coding RNA is filed under the name Hevea brasiliensis (rubber tree). The record is from RNAcentral. Lineage: Eukaryota; Viridiplantae; Streptophyta; Magnoliopsida; Malpighiales; Euphorbiaceae.
CAUGCAUUGCUGAGGAGGUGACAAACUUAUACACUUCUGACACUUCUGCAAAUCUGGACUCCAAAAUCCCAAUCUAAUAUCCACUGGGCUUUGUCUUCAGUACCUGUAAAACAACUCCAUCUGAUCAACUCUGUGCCAGAGCAGGUAAUAACUCUUGCAUUUUCAAGUUGCGUAAUCGUGAAACUUUCGGUUAUGGGUCAACUAUUCAUGCCAUUAUUUACAUAGAACGUCCACUGCAUAAAUAAUGUUCACAUCCAAGAAUUUAAAGAGAACAGGAUGUGCCGGCCUUACAAGAGAUAGUAAUUACAACUAUUUGCAUGUGCAAGA